Canis lupus familiaris (dog) is the source of this 3682-nucleotide long non-coding RNA. RefSeq lists it as uncharacterized. The record is from RefSeq and is a predicted model, not a curated record. The transcript has 4 exons. Lineage: Eukaryota; Metazoa; Chordata; Mammalia; Carnivora; Canidae.
CCUGCCCGCGCCCGCCGGCGCCCCGUUGCAGGCAGUGAAGAGCUAAGGGGCCGUUCACGUUGGAUGAAAUCAUCUGGAGCCGGAUGGCCAACAAAGGAAAAACAUUUAGCACUUCGAGGGCUUUGCGGAAUAUGCUGGGCUGUGCUUAAGAAAAGAGCCCUCAGCAAAACUUGAGUUUAGUAGAAGCAUGGGUAUCAAAAUUAGAGAAAUUUCAUUAUGAAAUCCUUUUUAAUUAAUAUGACAUGGAUAGCUGUAAACUUGAGUUUUGAGCAACAGUGAGGAAAGAAACUAUUAGAGGAGAGUGAAUACCCCUAGGGAUAUCCUGAAGAUUGUGGAAUUUUGACUCAUUUGAUAGAGCACCUACCUGAAAAAACUAAAAUCAAUGAGAAUCAAGAGGAAAAUGGAAUGACCAGAUUGGAGACACUGCUGAGACAAGGGGAGAACAUGAAGUCUACAGGAGCCUUUACAACAAGACAAAUGAGUGCUCAAGUCUCUGCAAAAGGAGAAUACAGCGUGCAGGCAGAGGGAGCCAUGCCAUUCUGUACUCUUGGCAUCAUUACUACUACAACGGUGGGUGCAGUGGCCUCAAGUCACUUGCUUCAGAAGGCACUAGGUCACCAUCCAUCUCAACAGAGGGGAUGAUGAAUCCUGAUGCCACCACCUGACCAGAUUACUCACAUUCCACUUUGUGCUGAUUCUCUGCCAAGAACCACAGAGCAAAAUGAAAUGACAGUGUGGGGAGACAGCUGCUAAGUAAUCUCUUUGUUGUAUUUCUAAUAAGAUAGCUACAUCAUUUCUGUUGCUAACGUAUAGCCGUAUUAGUUCUGAAAUAAGCUAUUAUGGUUUUUUCCCCUCAGUGGACUGCAGUUGCAAUAAGUAAUACAUCAUUUAUAAUUGGAAAUGUGUAUCCCUACGACAAAAAGUUUGCUACUUCUUGCUUAAACUUUUAAAGACUUUUGAGUAUAUUGCUUGAAUUUGAAACCAGCAGCUUGAUUUGCACACAUAAUUUGAUAUUGACGGAGCACCUGGUGCAUGGUCGGGCUCCGGGAGUAGAAUGAAGAAGAGAAAGCAGGUGAGGGUGGAACUCUGAGGAAGAAAACAUUUUAGGGAAGGAGACUGGGGAAGUCGGCCAGGAAAGCAGGAAGAGCCCGGAUGUCAAGGGCAAAGAGCACGUGUAGGAGGUGGGCUUGUUGGUGUCAAAUGCUACAAAGAACAACCAAAGCACCUGCUGGUUUUAGCAGCAAAGAGGUCAUGUUGAACCUGGUCAGAGAGGAUGCAGCAGAAUUCCUGGGGCAGAAAUGAGGUCACACGGAUUGGAAGGGAUUUGGAUGUGAGCACAGAGUGGGGAGUGCAGCUUAAAUGCAGAGCUUCAGACACAGAGGCUAACUGAUGCGCUCAGGCCCCCAGGAAGUAGACAGGAUGAGAAUCCCAAGGGAUCUGCCUGAGGCCAUGGGGCGGGGGAACAGCACCUUGGCCACUGUGACAGGAGGCAGGAGUCACGGUGGCAGGUCAGCGGUGAGUGGUGAGACCGCCAUCCUCCUCAUCCCCAUGGCCAUCAACAGUGGCCAGUAAAACUGUAGAGGGGAGCACGGAGUGAAAGACACUGUGGCUUUGAGGACUUCACUUUUCUUAAGAAAUGAGGAGCAAGGCCGUUUGCUGACGGUGACAGGGGAAACGGCUGGACGGGAGCCUGAUAAAGGAGCCGAGGUUCAAAAAUGCUCCUGUGGGAACCAGGAAAGACCUGUCUGGAAAAAUGAAGGGCUAUGGGGGCACAGAGGUCCAGCCAGGAUGGACACAUUUAGACUGUUUACACUGAUCAUACUGCAGGUGCUUGGGAACCUCAGUGUAAGGCAGAAGGUGAAGAGUCAGGCGGUCCUGGGGCAAGAGUAACAGAACGAGAGGCUGGGAAGUCGAGGGCACUGCCUAGGGGGUGAUGGACCCAGUUCUAGACUAGAAGGGGAAGCAAGGAAGCCUCAAAAGAGCCUCACCAUCUGAGAAAAACCCAGAGGGGUAAGGAAAUUGAGUAGAAGUUCAAGAGUGAUGGGACCAGCCCUAGACCUGGGCCAGAGGGGAUCUGCCUGGGUCCCAUAUUCUGGAAGGUUCUGCUCUGGCCCUCAUCUGGCUGCACCUUUCUCCAGAGAACAAAGAGUGUGCAGGACCAAGGGGAUGUGUCCACCCAAGCUACACACUCCACCUUUUAAAGGAUAUUCCAGGUACUUGGGACCCUAGGGUUGAUUCCCUACCCAAAUAGCACUAAGCCUACUUUCAGUGCCUGUGCAGGCCACUUCCUAAGGGCUUGCUCAAAGAGUAGCUGUUUGUAGGAGAUGUGGAUUAAGCUCAGAGUGAGGGGUGGUGUCCAUGCAAGUGUGUGAGCCCCUCACCACAGGGAGCACAGCCGCAGACCAGGGGCCAGUGCCCCCCUUGCCAUAGAUGUCCCAUGUGGGCCUCCAAGGAACUGAUGGUUUCUAAUCAAGCCUUUGCUUUCUAGCUUGUUAUUAAAGUAUAUUUGUCAAGGUAGGAAGAGAAAAUAUAUUUAAUAUUUACCUUGCUUUAUUAUAUAUAUAUAUGUAUAUAUAUAUGUAUAUAGAUAGGUAGAUAGGUAGAUAGAUAGGCUGUACAUAGACACACAUGCACACAGAGCACGUGGCAUCCCAUGUGUACUCUUGCUCCAGGCGUGCAAACGUCAGGGAUGUGACUGAAUGAAGGAGGCAGCUGGAUAAGAGGUUGAAGUAGGAAUUCUUAGACUUCUGAGUCAACGUGGCACAGUAAACACUUGCUGAAAAUUUUCAGUCUGCUGCCACAUACAGAAGUAACAGAUAAAAUAUUUUUUAAAACCACAUAAGCCUGUUCUAUUUUCUAUUUGCAUUCUCUGCUUUGCUAUGUACCCGUCCGGACCACAUUACUUGGGCUCCCUGGUUGGCUGCCUCUCAGCUGGGUUUGGCCAGCAGAAGGUACUAGCAAGAGAUAAGAGGGUAGGAAGAGAGAGGAUAGGAUAUUUCUUUUUUGCUCCCUCACUACUUCAGGCCUGCCUUCUAAUGGUAGCUACUUCCCUCUAAACUCAGCUUCUACUAGGGGGCCCCUCAGUGGUAGCACCAGCUGUCCCUACACUCCGAUAAAGACAUCUCUUCCUUUGCCUCUUUAGGACUCAGUGUGGCGACAGCCUACCACUGUUCUUAGUCUCUGGGUACCUUAAAUGACCUUGCUGGAUUCUUUAUUCCUGUCCUUACUUCCAUAAAUAGUUUCUUCAUUAAAAUCUCUUGAAUUUAAGUAUUUAAAUGAUAUUCUAUUUUUUGCUGGGGACUUGGCUGAUUAAAAGCAUUUUCAAAAACAAGAAAAGUACAUCUCUCUAAAUAGGAGAGGAUAAUGACCCCCAGUAAUAAGUAGUGAUGAAGACUCUGUGGCCAUUGUGAAAUUGGGGUGAGGGCAGGUGCUAGAAAGAACUGGGGGUCUUACGUUUCUGUAUCUGCAAAGGGAAAGGGACUAAUACCACAGAUAUCAGGGUGGGGUAGGAUGGGAUGAGAUUAGUUCUAUUAUUGCAGUUAGGGUCAAGGCCUCCAAAUUGCCUGUGACUAGAAAUGAAGAUGCCUAUACUUGACUAACGUCUGAGUCCACACUGCCCGUGAGCUCAGACAUUGUUACUUCUCUGCAGUGGGAUUCCCAAGCCAUGCUUAAUUUAUGACUU